AGCAGUAGCCACGGGAAUACGGAGGGGGCUAGCGUUGUUCGGAAUUACUGGGCGUAAAGCGCACGUAGGCGGCUUUGUAAGUCAGAGGUGAAAGCCUGGAGCUCAACUCCAGAACUGCCUUUGAGACUGCAUCGCUUGAAUCCAGGAGAGGUCAGUGGAAUUCCGAGUGUAGAGGUGAAAUUCGUAGAUAUUCGGAAGAACACCAGUGGCGAAGGCGGCUGACUGGACUGGUAUUGACGCUGAGGUGCGAAAGCGUGGGGAGCAAACAGGAUUAGAGACCCGUGUAGUCCCUGUCUCUUAUAC
Molecule: ribosomal RNA, 303 nt
Filed under: uncultured bacterium
Lineage: Bacteria
Description: partial 16S ribosomal RNA
Rfam family: Bacterial small subunit ribosomal RNA
Source: RNAcentral